UCCCCGUUACCGGGGCAGUCUGAUUAGAAAAAUACAACUAAUCACAAGGGUUGCGCUCGUUGAAGGACUUAACCUAACAUCUCACGACACGAGCUGACGACGGCCAUGCAACACCUGUCACCGAGUUCCUUGCGGCACUCUCGCCUUUCGGCAAAAUUCUCGGGAUGUCAAGCCUGGGUAAGGUUCUACGCUUACCGUCGUAUUAAACAACACGCUCCACCGCUUGUGCGGGUCCCCGUCAAUUCCUUUAUGUUUUAGCCUUGCGGCCGUACUCCACAGGCGGGAUGCUUAACGCGUUAGCUUCGCUACAGAGGGGGUCGAUACCCCCCACAGCUAGCAUCCAUAGUUUACGGCGUGGACUAC
Molecule: unclassified non-coding RNA, 363 nt
Filed under: uncultured bacterium
Lineage: Bacteria
Description: contains 16S-23S intergenic spacer region
Source: RNAcentral